Molecule: long non-coding RNA, 464 nt
Organism: Hypanus sabinus (Atlantic stingray)
Lineage: Eukaryota; Metazoa; Chordata; Chondrichthyes; Myliobatiformes; Dasyatidae
Exons: 5
Source: RefSeq, a predicted model, not a curated record
UGGAUGUGCCCCUGACAUAAUAUACCCUUCUCAUCUAUGCAAGAAAUAAGAUCCAAUCAGAUAGUUUUAUGAAAACAAAAUCUAAAGUCGAUGCCUCCAGAAGACCCCAUCAUUAAAGACCCCUCACACCCUCUCCAUGAACUGUUUGUUCGUCUGCCAUCAGUUUUUCCAAGGCUCGAUAAGAAGAGCGAGAUCGAUGGUCUUUCAAUGCCAGUGCAUAUGCAGUUAUAGCCAAUACAAGUGUACUCUUCACAUUCUCCAGGUUGUUUGAUAAGUAUUCAUUGGCUAUACUAUCUGACCUGCUGUGAUCUCCAGCGUACUUCCAUUGUAAAGAAGAUGAUGAAUUGAAAAGUAAUUACAUACCACCACAUGCAACUUAAGCACUGUAACUUCAUUUACAGUAUAUUCAGUAUUCAGUGUGAAAUUUAUGCUGUGGACACCUAUUUUCAGGGGUAGUAUAGUGA